UACGUAGGGACCAAGCGUUGUUCGGAUUUACUGGGCGUAAAGGGCGCGUAGGCGGCCUGACAAGUCACUUGUGAAAUCUCUGGGCUUAACCCAGAACGGCCAAGUGAUACUGUCGCGCUAGAGUGCGGAAGGGGCAAUCGGAAUUCUCGGUGUAGCGGUGAAAUGCGUAGAUAUCGAGAGGAACACCUGAGGUGAAGACGGGUUGCUGGGCCGACACUGACGCUGAGUGCGCGAAAGCCAGGGGAGCAAACGGG
This 254-nucleotide ribosomal RNA is filed under the name uncultured bacterium. RNAcentral describes it as "partial 16S ribosomal RNA". It matches the Rfam family "Bacterial small subunit ribosomal RNA", at positions 524 to 776 of the family's 1533-position model. The record is from RNAcentral.